This 301-nucleotide ribosomal RNA is filed under the name uncultured bacterium. RNAcentral's name for it is "partial 16S ribosomal RNA". It matches the Rfam family "Bacterial small subunit ribosomal RNA", at positions 509 to 809 of the family's 1533-position model. The record is from RNAcentral.
CAGCCGCCGCGGUAAUACGUAGGUCCCGAGCGCUGUCCGGAUUUAUUGGGCGUAAAGCGAGCGCAGGCGGUUAGAUAAGUCUGAAGUUAAAGGCUGUGGCUUAACCAUAGUACGCUUUGGAAACUGUUUAACUUGAGUGCAAGAGGGGAGAGUGGAAUUCCAUGUGUAGCGGUGAAAUGCGUAGAUAUAUGGAGGAACACCGGUGGCGAAAGCGGCUCUCUGGCUUGUAACUGACGCUGAGGCUCGAAGCGUGGGGAGCAAACAGGAUUAGAUACCCGCGUAGUCCCUGUCUCUUAUACAC